AGGGUUUGAUCAUGGCUCAGGAUGAACGCUGACAGAAUGCUUAACACAUGCAAGUCGACUCGAGUCUUUGGACUUGGGUGGCGGACGGGUGAGUAACGCGUAAAGAACUUGCCUCAUAGUCUGGGACAACAUUUGGAAACGGAUGCUAAUACCGGAUAUUAUGCUUUCUUCGCAUGGAGGAAGUAUGAAAGCUAUAUGCGCUAUGAGAGAGCUUUGCGUCCCAUUAGCUAGUUGGUGAGGUAACGGCCCACCAAGGCGAUGAUGGGUAGCCGGCCUGAGAGGGUGAACGGCCACAAGGGGACUGAGACACGGCCCUU
Molecule: ribosomal RNA, 317 nt
Filed under: uncultured bacterium
Lineage: Bacteria
Description: bacterial SSU rRNA
Rfam family: Bacterial small subunit ribosomal RNA
Source: RNAcentral